CAAGCGGUGGAGCAUGUGGUUUAAUUCGAUGCAACGCGAAGAACCUUACCUACUCUUGACAUCCAGCGAACUUAGCAGAGAUGCUUUGGUGCCUUCGGGAACGCUGAGACAGGUGCUGCAUGGCUGUCGUCAGCUCGUGUCGUGAAAUGUUGGGUUAAGUCCCGCAACGAGCGCAACCCUUAUCCUUUGUUGCCAGCGAUACGGUCGGGGACUCAAAGGAGACUGCCGGUGAUAAACCGGAGGAAGGUGGGGAUGACGUCAAGUCAUCAUGGCCCUUACGAGUAGGGCUACACACGUGCUACAAUGGCGCAUACAAAGAGAAGCGACCUCGCGAGAGCAAGCGGACCUCAGAAAGUGCGUCGUAGUCCGGAUCGGAGUCUGCAACUCGACUCCGUGAAGUCGGAAUCGCUAGUAAUCGUGGAUCAGAAUGCCACGGUGAAUACGUUCCCGGGCCUUGUACACACC
Molecule: ribosomal RNA, 465 nt
Filed under: uncultured bacterium
Lineage: Bacteria
Description: bacterial SSU rRNA
Rfam family: Bacterial small subunit ribosomal RNA
Source: RNAcentral